UGGGGAAUAUUGCACAAUGGGCGCAAGCCUGAUGCAGCCAUGCCGCGUGUAUGAAGAAGGCCUUCGGGUUGUAAAGUACUUUCAGUCGGGAGGAAGGUGUCAAGGUUAAUAACCUUGGCAAUUGACGUUACCGACAGAAGAAGCACCGGCUAACUCCGUGCCAGCAGCCGCGGUAAUACGGAGGGUGCAAGCGUUAAUCGGAAUUACUGGGCGUAAAGCGCACGCAGGCGGUUGAUUGAGUCAGAUGUGAAAUCCCCGGGCUUAAACCGGGAAUUGCAUCUGAUACUGGUCAGCUAGAGUCUUGUAGAGGGGGGUAGAAUUCCAUGUGUAGCGGUGAAAUGCGUAGAGAUGUGGAGGAAUACCGGUGGCGAAGGCGGCCCCCUGGACAAAGACUGACGCUCAGGUGCGAAAGCGUGGGGAGCAAACAGG
Molecule: ribosomal RNA, 429 nt
Filed under: Chloroflexota bacterium
Lineage: Bacteria; Bacillati; Chloroflexota
Description: Chloroflexi bacterium partial 16S ribosomal RNA
Rfam family: Bacterial small subunit ribosomal RNA
Source: RNAcentral